RNAcentral lists this ribosomal RNA (505 nucleotides) under uncultured bacterium. RNAcentral describes it as "bacterial SSU rRNA". It matches the Rfam family "Bacterial small subunit ribosomal RNA", at positions 15 to 507 of the family's 1533-position model. The record is from RNAcentral.
GAUCCUGGCUCAGGAUGAACGCUAGCUACAGGCUUAACACAUGCAAGUCGAGGGGAAACGAUAGAGAAAGCUUGCUUUUUCUAGGCGUCGACCGGCGCACGGGUGAGUAACGCGUAUCCAACCUGCCCACCACUUGGGGAUAACCUUGCGAAAGUAAGACUAAUACCCAAUGACGUCUCUAGAAGACAUCUGAAAGAGAUUAAAGAUUUAUCGGUGAUGGAUGGGGAUGCGUCUGAUUAGCUUGUUGGCGGGGUAACGGCCCACCAAGGCGACGAUCAGUAGGGGUUCUGAGAGGAAGGCCCCCCACAUUGGAACUGAGACACGGUCCAAACUCCUACGGGAGGCAGCAGUGAGGAAUAUUGGUCAAUGGACGAGAGUCUGAACCAGCCAAGUAGCGUGCAGGAUGACGGCCCUAUGGGUUGUAAACUGCUUUUAUAAGGGAAUAAAGUGAGUCUCGUGAGACUUUUUGCAUGUACCUUAUGAAUAAGGACCGGCUAAUUCCGUG